RNAcentral lists this ribosomal RNA (447 nucleotides) under uncultured bacterium. RNAcentral's name for it is "bacterial SSU rRNA". It matches the Rfam family "Bacterial small subunit ribosomal RNA", at positions 355 to 825 of the family's 1533-position model. The record is from RNAcentral.
UCGGGAAUUUUGGGCAAUGGGCGAAAGCCUGACCCAGCAACGCCGCGUGAAGGAUGAAGUAUUUCGGUAUGUAAACUUCGAAAGAAUAGGAAGAAUAAAUGACGGUACUAUUUAUAAGGUCCGGCUAACUACGUGCCAGCAGCCGCGGUAAUACGUAGGGACCAAGCGUUGUUCGGAUUUACUGGGCGUAAAGGGCGCGUAGGCGGCAAUUCAAGUCAUCUGUGAAAUCUCCGGGCUUAACUCGGAACGGUCAGAUGAUACUGCUUUGCUAGAGUGCAGAAGGGGCAAUCGGAAUUCUUGGUGUAGCGGUGAAAUGCGUAGAUAUCAAGAGGAACACCUGAGGUGAAGACGGGUUGCUGGGCUGACACUGACGCUGAGGCGCGAAAGCCAGGGGAGCAAACGGGAUUAGAUACUCAUGUAGUCCCUGAGCGGGCUGGCAAGGCGCAU